UGACAAAUCUAAUCCAGACAUGUAAUUGAGAGCCUUAUACUUAUACGUGCUAGCUCUAUAUUUUGUUAAAAACUCAAUUUCUUCUUCAAUGUCUUCAUAAAAAUAAAAAGUGUCAAAGCUUUUGUGAAGUGAUAUGGGAAUCAUGUAUUGUGAGGACAUACUUACAAUUGUGCUACCAUAGAAAUCUCCUUCUUCCUUUCCAAAGGAGAGAUUAUGUAAGCAGUGGGGAAUGGACCCAGACAAAAAGUUUCUUGAGAGAUCUAAUAGGCUGAUGUAUUUUUGCUGACACAACCAAUUUGGAAUGAAGCCACUUAAAUGAUUUUCUCCUAAUAAAAGAACUCUCAAGUCAUUUUGAAACUCACCAGUGUUAUUAGGAA
This 377-nucleotide unclassified non-coding RNA is filed under the name Hevea brasiliensis (rubber tree). Lineage: Eukaryota; Viridiplantae; Streptophyta; Magnoliopsida; Malpighiales; Euphorbiaceae. The record is from RNAcentral.